Molecule: unclassified non-coding RNA, 635 nt
Filed under: Bertolonia valenteana
Lineage: Eukaryota; Viridiplantae; Streptophyta; Magnoliopsida; Myrtales; Melastomataceae
Description: partial external transcribed spacer
Source: RNAcentral
UACGUGUCCGGCGUCUAGCAGGCUUGUUCGGGACGCGUUUCGUUCCCCCGGUGGCUUCUCCAUGGGAGGUGUCGCCGGAUGGAUCGUUGCGUCUCGUCUUGCGAUGGGACGACGCAUGAGUGGUCAUUAGGAUGUGUUUCCCAAGCAGGCUCCGUGUUCCUGGCAUCGAACUGCUUGGGCCUACCUAUUUCAUCCGUGGGUUCGCCUCGGCGUUUUCAGGGUCGGCUGCGACUUCUCGUUGGGUUUCUGUGCUUGAUAUCGAAUUCGGUAGAUCGAUGGACUGCUGUUCCCCGUCACGGCUUAUCGAUUCUCCUCAGCCUUUCGGGGCGACGGUGGAUAUCGCGGGGGCAUUGACGUUUUCCUUCCGAGCGGUUGUUCCCCUCUGGGCGCUCCUGCUCGUGAUGGCACGUGGAUGCUGCCGACGCUCUUGGGUACGGGUUAUUUAUGUUUGUUCCAUAGGUCUCCGGCCUUUGCGAACGUGGUGUAUCGAAGCAUUCUUGCUUCUGCGUGUAUGACCCUCGUGCUCGUCUAAGAGCUCACGGAGCCUCUUNCGUUCGGUGUUCUUCUUGGGGAGUCGUCGAGGUCUACAAAGGAAUGCUACCUGGUUGAUCCUGCCAGUAGUCAUAUGCUUGUCU